This 253-nucleotide ribosomal RNA is filed under the name uncultured bacterium. RNAcentral describes it as "partial 16S ribosomal RNA". It matches the Rfam family "Bacterial small subunit ribosomal RNA", at positions 524 to 776 of the family's 1533-position model. The record is from RNAcentral.
UACAGAGGGUGCAAACGUUGUUCGGAAUUACUGGGCAUAAAGAGCACGUAGGCGGCUCAUCAAGUCACGCGUGAAAUCCCCCGGCUCAACCGGGGAACUGCGCCUGAUACUGGUGGGCUAGAGGACGGUAGGGGUGAGUGGAACUCUAGGUGGAGCGGUGAAAUGCGUAGAGAUCUAGAGGAACACCGGUGGCGAAAGCGGCUCACUGGACCGUAACUGACGCUGAGGUGCGAAAGAUAGGGUAGCAAACGGG